Molecule: ribosomal RNA, 313 nt
Filed under: Salmonella enterica
Lineage: Bacteria; Pseudomonadati; Pseudomonadota; Gammaproteobacteria; Enterobacterales; Enterobacteriaceae
Also listed under: 9 other names
Description: partial 23S ribosomal RNA
Rfam family: Bacterial large subunit ribosomal RNA
Source: RNAcentral
GGUUAAGCGACUAAGCGUACACGGUGGAUGCCCUGGCAGUCAGAGGCGAUGAAGGGCGUGCUAAUCUGCGAUAAGCGCCGGUAAGGUGAUAUGAACCGUUAUAACCGGCGAUACCCGAAUGGGGAAACCCAGUGUGAUUCGUCACACUAUCAUUAACUGAAUCCAUAGGUUAAUGAGGCGAACCGGGGGAACUGAAACAUCUAAGUACCCCGAGGAAAAGAAAUCAACCGAGAUUCCCCCAGUAGCGGCGAGCGAACGGGGAGGAGCCCAGAGCCUGAAUCAGCAUGUGUGUUAGUGGAAGCGUCUGGAAAGG